CGCAAAUUCCACUAUUGUGGCUAAUCCUUUAUGUGGCUAGCUUCACAGCACAUAACCCGGUCCGGUCAAACCAUAGUAUAGUAGUCAGAUGAAGCAAGUGGAGAGCAGCAUAUAAAAGAAGCAAGGCGAGGAAAGGAGCACUGAAGAACUUGACCACUCCUCCACAAAGUCCAGAUCAUGUUCCAGAGCAGUCCCCACAGCCAGGAUCUUCAAGUUUCAGUCAGAAGGUCCUGGCUGCUCCAGAACAGCCAGCCAAUGAGGAAAAUCCACAAGCUGUGGGGGAAAUCCAGGUCUUCUGGGGCAGUGGUGUGUAGUGGAAUAUGAUAACCUUUAUCCAGGCAUCAUCCUCGGCACGGAUGAAAUGAGUGUACAAGUGAAAUGUAUGCAUCGUGUAGGACCAAACAGAUUUUUCUGGCCUUCUCGAGACGACAUCCACUGGUAUCAGUUUGAUGAAGUCCUUGAGCUGAUUCCACACACACACAGCGUGUGACAUCCCACCACGUGGAGGUUGAGAAAGAUAUGUGGGCCAGACUCUCAGGAAGAAACCCAUGAAUGAAUGAAUGAAUACGGUGCUCCUGAGAAGGAUAGUCAUGCUGACACUAGCGCUGUAGCUACAGCUGUUUUAGCAUUCUAAAUGCCCUUGGAAAAUGUUGAACUUUCCUGAUGAAACCUGUUGAAUGUUAUUAAUUACCCUAAUGCCUAAUGGGUUUUUAUUUGUUUUGAUAUUUACUGUAGUUUGGUUAAUAAAACCCAGAUUAUUCUAAAUAUAUCUAAUGUUCUUAUUACAUGGUCGCAUACAAUCAAACGCAAUGUUUUGGGGUAAAUCUUGGAGGUAUUAUGAUAGUAAACUAAACUUGUUUAUAUCGAAACCGAUGUCUCUUCAACCCUGUUACAGUAUUCAUUCCUGUCACCCUAGUCUCAACCCCGUCACAUGACAAUAUUUGUUAAAUAAAAUGGGCAAAGAUGAAUAAAUAUGAAUAAUGUUUUCUGUCUGAAAUGUUAAGGACAAUCCCAAGAAGAUUAGAUUUAUGUUACAAUUCUGAAUUGAAAGCAUUUUUAAAUUUAAAUGAUGAGCUCGCUGACACAUAAUGAGUCUAUUUCAGGGUUUAGCCUAGC
RNAcentral lists this long non-coding RNA (1116 nucleotides) under Salmo salar (Atlantic salmon). Its description in RNAcentral is "lncRNA (ENSSSAG00000087061.1)". Lineage: Eukaryota; Metazoa; Chordata; Actinopteri; Salmoniformes; Salmonidae. The record is from RNAcentral.